GACGAACGCUGGCGGCGUGCUUAACGCAUGCAAGUCGAACGAUGAAGCCGGAGCUUGCUCUGGUGAAUUAGUGGCGAACGGGUGAGUAACACGUGAGUAACCUGCCCUUGACUCUGGGAUAACUGCGGGAAACUGUAGCUAAUACCGGAUACGACCCUCGGAGGCAUCUCCUGGGGGUGGAAAGAAUUUCGGUCAAGGAUGGACUCGCGGCCUAUCAGCUAGUUGGUGAGGUAAAGGCUCACCAAGGCGACGACGGGUAGCCGGCCUGAGAGGGUGACCGGCCACACUGGGACUGAGACACGGCCCAGACGCCUACGGGAGGCAGCAGUGGGGAAUAUUGCACAAUGGGCGCAAGCCUGAUGCAGCAACGCCGCGUGAGGGAUGACGGCCUUCGGGUUGUAAACCUCUUUUAGCAGGGAAGAAGCGAAAGUGACGGUACCUGCAGAAAAAGCACCGGCUAACUACGUGCCAGCCGCCGCGGUAA
This 484-nucleotide ribosomal RNA is filed under the name uncultured bacterium. Its description in RNAcentral is "partial 16S ribosomal RNA". It matches the Rfam family "Bacterial small subunit ribosomal RNA", at positions 28 to 523 of the family's 1533-position model. The record is from RNAcentral.